UUCGAGCUCGAGGAAAAACUUUCUGAAGAGUAAAAACUUUGUUGAAUCUUCAACAAAAGGUGGAUGAAUUAGCAUCCAAGGUACUAAAUGAGAUGGUAAAAAAAGGAUGAUAACUAAGCCUCACAAGUUCCACUGCAUUAGAGCUCAAACUUCAGGGAUCUUUAAUUGCAAGUACUUAUCCUUCUGGUGGAGUGUCCUCCUAUAAAGCAAAGGCCUACAGAAAAAAAUCGACACUAUUUGAGCUUACUUGAUCAGUGAAAGACCAAGAUUUUCAUAAGCAACUAUAUACCACAGAAGAAUGUUAAACAUACAAAGAGUUUGCCAAGAUUGAUUUACCGUCACAAAUAUUAAUAAUAAGCCCAACAGAUAAUGUACUUUUAUAUGAGGGAAUACUUUUUUCUGGGGAGUCCAAGUGAAGUCAAGUAGUUCUAGUGCAGUUCUAUUACCACCGCUACCGCCGCCACACUCAAUGUCUUCGGAUGAGGGCUAUGAUGAUGAGGAUGAAGAUGACACUGAAGAAUAUAGCUGAUAGUUUUAGUAUGGUUGAACAAUAUACUAGGAAUUAUAGUUAAUGAUCAAUACAUUUUGUUUAUGUUUUGAAUUAUAUUGACUUGC
Molecule: long non-coding RNA, 615 nt
Organism: Arachis stenosperma
Lineage: Eukaryota; Viridiplantae; Streptophyta; Magnoliopsida; Fabales; Fabaceae
Exons: 7
Source: RefSeq, a predicted model, not a curated record